CCCCCCAACCACCUGGGAAAAGGAAGCAGAAAAAGGAGAAGCAGCAACUGCCACUCCACUUCCUUCGCAUCUCUCGCUCUUGGGACACGCCAGACAGCAGAAAGCAGCUCUGCGAGAGACCAGAGCCACAAGCUAAUAAUAACACAGAGCUCCUGGCAAUGUUCUGCCCUCUCUGGAGUGACACAAUGUAAAUUGGCCUUCGAUACUCUUCUAAUGAGAUCUGCCUCUACCCAAAGCCUCCCCUGCAAACACCAGGUGAGGCACGCCUAGUUCUCUCCACCCCUUGUCAAUUGACGUGUUUCCAGACUUCUUGUGUUAGACACUAAGCAUGCAAAGAUGGAUAAGGCCUCAGGCCUCAUGGAACUCUGGCUGGGGAGACAAUAGGGACAUAAUUCUCGUAAAGGUGUGAGGGUGGAAGCUCAAUUCAGCAGUUGUUUAUUGAGCACUUACUUGGGCCAGCCUCUGUGCUCGGUGUUUUACAUAGAUUAUCUCAAAUUUUCACAACUCUGCCAAAUAGAUAUUAUUCCCAUUUUAUAUAAUUUUAGAAACUGAGGCUUGGGGAGGUUGCGACCUCUUGUUGCUUGAGGGACAGAGGUGGGUGAUGGUGAUGCUAUAAUAGGAAAUAAAACUGGAAAGGAAGUUUAGGUCCGACUUGGGCCAGGCUGUUUGAAUUUUAAUAAUCAGGAGUUUGGCUCAGGGAAGCGAAACCAUGGGACUUGCCAUUUAUGAGGGUAAAUGCUUCCUCUCAGAGGAAGAGAGAUGACUGAAGGAAAUUAUUUUUAAGGGAAAUAGCUGAGAGGGGAAGCAUUUGAGGAUGGCUCAAGAUCUCAAGUCUUCAUGACCGGAGGGACUGGAACACCAUACAAGUGAGAAGGUGGGACAGGGGCUGGGGCCACUGGGUUCCGCUUUUGAAAACGCUGGGUCUGACAUUGGUUGUAGCUGUUUCCAGAUUGUUCCCUGCAGUUCCGGAGAUGGCGAGCACCUGCUGGAUACAUUUACUGGUUCUGAGCUGCUUCCAGAUAGUUCCCUGCAGUUCCGGAGAUGGCGAGCACCUGCUGGAUACAUUUGCUGGUUCCCACCCACACGGGCACUCUCUCUGAUGCUCUUACAUUUCUGCUGAGCUCAGGUCAACAUUUUCUCUCCUCCCAGCAAGCCUAAGGCCACAUGUGCUGUUCCCACAAAGGUGUCAUACUUCAGCGUACCCAACAUUUCUAUGAUUUCAUAAUGGGAAAGCCAUCUGCCACGCAGCUGGAUGUCCUGAACUUGUUUUGCUAUGUGGCCAUGAGCCCUCCUGAGGUGCCGGCAGGAGGGUGAUCUGACGAGAUCUGUGCUUGGGAAGAUAACACGCGCAGCAGCGUUUGGGUCGGGGAGGAUCCUGAAGGCAGGGGACAGGUUAGGGGAAGGCCCGAGGUGUCUUUUGACCCAUACGACUGACACCACUGGUCUGCAGGGACUGUCACCACAGCCACCCCAUCAUGUUAUAGACACUAUUUUUCCUGUUCUUUUGACAAUCCCUCUGCUUCAGCCAGGCAGGUCUCCUCGCUGACACCAGGAUGCACCAUGCUUUGCCCAGCUCCAAGUGUGUGCUCCUGUUGGACAGAGUGGGCGAGAGGGCCCGCAGGCAGCUCCGAGUGCCUACCCCAGACCCAUCAUCCUUGAAGGCAGACACGCUUGGUCUCAACAGGCCAUAGGAAGUCCCUUUUAUCAUCCCCCCAGAUAAGACUUCAAAAAAUGGACAGGAACAACAAACCAUAAUAACCAUGCCUAGCGAGUGUUAGUGCUGGUCUGCCUCCUGCUUGGACAGAUAUGAACGUCAAAUCGCUCACGUAGCAUCCUUUCCAAGGACCAAGGAGCCAUUCCUUUGAAAUGUCAUCAUCAAAGGAGACAGUCUCCCUGUUUCAGCAGGAGUCGCAGGAGCCUAACCUGGCAGAUGCUUGGCUCUGAGUUGCAAAACUACCUCCUGUCCUAAAGCUAUAAGAAGUUUGUUUUUCCUUUGGAUAAAGCCAAUUAGCUAACACAGAUGGUGACCCCAAUUACUAGUUGAAUCUAGGGUACACUCCGUGUGACAAAUGGGCUGUCAAGUGCUCUUGCCAGGGGACUCACUAGCUCUUUAUUGUUUGCCCUGGGAACACGUCAAGGGGGGGUUGGUUGCCUCUGCUCCGCUCAGUAAGAGGGUGAGGUUUCUUUCUGUCAUUGCAGUCUCUUAGGGGAUUGCCCGUGAUGCGAGUCACAUUCUGGUUGAAUGUUUAUUUAAUAAUAAAACACUUCGUUCUCUA
This is an RNA transcript of Lemur catta (Ring-tailed lemur), 2276 nucleotides long. It is a transcript of the gene named ADP ribosylation factor like GTPase 11, with no coding region annotated. Lineage: Eukaryota; Metazoa; Chordata; Mammalia; Primates; Lemuridae. The record is from RefSeq and is a predicted model, not a curated record. The transcript is spliced from 2 exons.